CCUACGGGUGGCAGCAGUGGGGGAUAUUGCACAAUGGGGGGAACCCUGAUGCAGCGACGCCGCGUGGGGGAAGAAGCGCCUCGGCGCGUAAAGCGCUGUCAGCAGGGAAGAAAAUGACGGUACCUGAAGAAGAAGCCCCGGCCAACUUCGUUCCAGCAGCCGCGGUAAUACGUAGGGGGCAAGGGUUAUCCGGAUUUAUUGGGUGUAAAGGGGGCGCAGACGGCGAUGCAAGCCAGGAGGGAAAGCCCGGGGCCCAACCGAGGGACUGCUAGUGGAACCGCGUGGCGGGAGUGCAGGAGGGGAAGGCGGAAUUCCUGGUGUAGCGGUGAAAUGCGUAGAUAUCAGGAGGAACACCGGUGGCGAAGGCGGCCUACUGGACUGCAACUGACGUUGAGGCCCGAAAGCGUGGGGAGCAAACAGGAUUAGAUACCCGUGUAGUC
This 440-nucleotide ribosomal RNA is filed under the name uncultured bacterium. Its description in RNAcentral is "partial 16S ribosomal RNA". It matches the Rfam family "Bacterial small subunit ribosomal RNA", at positions 338 to 795 of the family's 1533-position model. The record is from RNAcentral.